RNAcentral lists this ribosomal RNA (468 nucleotides) under uncultured bacterium. RNAcentral's name for it is "partial 16S ribosomal RNA". It matches the Rfam family "Bacterial small subunit ribosomal RNA", at positions 28 to 507 of the family's 1533-position model. The record is from RNAcentral.
GACGAACGCUGGCGGCGUGCUUAACACAUGCAAGUCGAACGGAAAGGCCCUGCUUGUGUGGGGUGCUCGAGUGGCGAACGGGUGAGUAACACGUGAGUAACCUGGCCUGUACUUGGGGAUAACUUCAGGAAACUGGGGCUAAUACCGGAUAGGAGCUCCUGCUGCAGGGUGGGGGUUGGAAAGUUUCCGCGGUUGGGGAUGGACGCGCGGCUUGUCAGCUUGUUGGUGGGGUAGUGGCUUACCAAGGCUUUGAAGGGUAGCCGGCAUGAGAGGGUGACCGGCCACAUUGGGACUGAGAUACGGCCCAGACUGGUACGGGAGGCAGCAGUGGGGAAUAUUGCACAAUGGGCGGAAGCCUGAUGAAGCAACGCCGCGUGCGGGAUGAAGGCCUUCGGGUUGUAAACCGCUUUAGCCUGUGACGAAGCGUGAGUGACGGUAAUGGGUAAAGAAGCACCGGCUAACUACGUG